RNAcentral lists this unclassified non-coding RNA (217 nucleotides) under uncultured Inocybe. Its description in RNAcentral is "sequence contains ITS1". Lineage: Eukaryota; Fungi; Basidiomycota; Agaricomycetes; Agaricales; Cortinariaceae. The record is from RNAcentral.
UCGAAUAAACUUGAACAGGUUGUUGCUGGCCUUCUGGGGCAUGUGCACACUUGUCCAUCUUUAUCAUUUCUCCAACUUGUGCACUUUUUAUCCAUAGACCUUUAGAUUUGGGGACUGCUGUGCUUUAUCAGUCGGCUUUCCCUUUUAUUUUUUUAAUGUCUAUAUGCUUUUCACAAUCUCAUAAAUGUUGAAUGUAUAUGGAAAUAAAAAUGUUAUA